GUGAUAAUCGAGAAAUUAAUAUGAUAUAAAUUUUGUAAAUUAAUUGAUCCAAUCAUACUAUUGACACCCCAAUGAUGCUCUUACUAGUUCUAUAAAUUGGUACAUUACACGAACAUAUUUUCAUCACUCAUUCUUUUUCUACUUUUUCUGCAAGCUAAAGUGUGUUUUCUGCAAUAUGGCUAAGCUGUUCUUUUUCUUGAUUGCUCUCUUUGUUAUAAGUACAGUUGAUGAUUUCUCUUGGUCUUCCAAGAUGCAAGUAAUGGCUACAAGAGACUUGGCACUAGAUCAGAACAACAACUAAAAAAUAAAGGGCAGCCACAAGGGUGUAUUGUACGCAGUCUUACCUUGCAUUUCUGCCAUAGGCUAUUUCCAAGGCUUGAACCCGUGACCUCCUGAUCACUUUACCAGUUACUCUAAGGUUCCCUUCAAGUGGAACAACAACUACUUCCAGUAAAAACUGGCUUAGGAAAUUGCUUCAUACUUGGCAAUUCGAACGCAGACUGUGUGCGCAGAGGUUGUUCGUUUUGUUGCGAAUGUAUGCGCUCAUAUGAUCCAUAUACUAAUAAAUAUGAUUAUAAUUGUGACAAACGUCUUUGGAUUGGUGAAGGUUUUUUUGGAACUAUCCUUAAAAAUCAACGUCUUAAGAACAUUAAUUAAUGUUUGUGUGUUCUUAUGUUUGAUGGAAUAAGUGAUAAUGAGGUUUUUGUCUACGGAAAACUUUGAUUAUUCGAGUGUAAUUUGUAAAAGCUAGCAGUUUGGCGUGUGACUGCUUAUCUAUAUGUGUAAUUCUAUGUGAAA
Capsicum annuum is the source of this 798-nucleotide long non-coding RNA. RefSeq lists it as uncharacterized. The transcript has 2 exons. NCBI's taxonomy places the organism in Eukaryota, Viridiplantae, Streptophyta, Magnoliopsida, Solanales, Solanaceae. The record is from RefSeq and is a predicted model, not a curated record.